AUAUGCAGAUUUCUCUGCGCUGAUAGCCCUGUUCCCCAAUCUCUCUCUCUUUCUCUUUCUCUCUGUUUUUUUUUUUUUUUUUAAAGCCCACCUUUAUUUUCUCUCUUCUGCAUGACGAAGCUAAAAUAUCUGCCAGGCAGAGAUUUGAGGUACUUGCUUCAGGCACGAUUGGAGAUGUGGGGAAAGAAGGUGGGGAAUGCCCCAUUAAAGGUCUUAAUUGUGCUGCUCGUCUCCUUCCAUCCCCGUGCUCUGUGAUUAAAGUUCCCCAGGAUGAAGGAACUGGGAAGGGAGUCCAUAAUGGAGCAGCAGCAACAGCCUGCAGUGGAACCAGAUGUGCGGGACUUUUGAUGAUCUUUGACAUUAAAAAAAUCAGCAGGGAAAACACGUCGACACAAAAGCUGCAACCCAGCAGAUACAUUUUCUUCAUGGCAGCAGUUCCGCCGUGUCUGCCAAGGAGCAACAUGCUGUAUAUUGAAUUGGAUUUAGGAGGAAAGGAGAGGGGGUUCCUCUGUACAAAGCAGAGAUCAGAGAGCCCUGAGCAUAUGGUCCUUUCUGCCAGAGCUCAUAUGUUGGCAGCAAUGCCUGUCAACAUCCACCAGAGAGCAGAGCAGCUCUAACAGCGGAGUCUUUUCUGCUGUGGAAAUCAAUGGAGACAGCUACACAGCCAGAUCCUGGCCAAACAACGUGGAUUGCAGUUCAUUUCAAAGGUGAAAUGGGUGGUAUAUCAGACAGCUUAUUAAAGAGACAAGCUUGCUGCUUUCCCAGAGUGGGAUGACAGAACAAGUCAUGAUCUUGUAUGGAAGGAAAAUGAGAUCCCUAGUGAAGUCUACAAUGUGAUUGACUCUGAAGAAAGACUCUGAGACCCAUUGGUGCUUAAUGACCCUUACUGGCCUGUGCAAUAGGAACUGGUCACAUAUUUGAAAAAGUAAAUCCUGAAAUAGAAAAGCUGGGCUUUCUAUGUCAGUGUCUUGGAGGAGGAAAAAUUGAACAUAAUAGCAAAGGCAAGAAAAUCCAUGUGUUUUUGGUCUUUCUACAGACAAGUCUCAAGACAACAUACAUAGGCUUCCUAGGUGGUCUUACAAUCAGGCAUUAAAAAAAUCCAGACUGGAUUAUCUUCAGCAAGACAUCUGCAUUUUGAAUCUUCAGACCAUGCUCUUCUCCAUGGUAGAACCUGAAAUCCUAAAGUCUCUAUGGACCAAAUGGUACCUACUUGUUUGCAUACUUCGGAUGUUGCCCAUGGGAAUGGAUAUCACAGGAUUGUAACAGGGAAUGUAGCACUUUGUUUGUUUGUUUGUUUGCAUUUACAUCCCACUUUUCCUCCAAGAAGUCCAGAGUGGGUUACAUGGUUUUGUUUAUCCCCACAACAACCCUGUGAGGAAAGUAUUCAUGCAGAUUUACUGAAUAAACCUUGAUGGACAAGAAAAGAAAAGAAAAGAAAAGAAAAGAAAAGAAAAGAAAAGAAAAGAAAAGAGAAAUAGAACAAGGCAGAAACAGAAACUUCACUCAUCAUCAUAUAAAAGACAGGAAGAUACAAGGAACAGUACUGAGGUCAUGUCUACAUGAGGAAGAACUCAUCGGGGAGUUCUGAGCUGCAGGAAGAAGUGUGGUGUUCCUAGGGGCAGUCUCCAAUCAAUUUUUGUUAUACAGACUGUUUCCUGCUAGCUUGAGAAAAGUAUAACACAUCUUGUGGAGAGGUGCCUGAGGGAAUCUGAGGACAAUUCACAGACUCGGUUUAAGGUGCUGUCCUUAAUCUUGAAAUCCCUGGACUGGGGCCAGAUUACCUCAAGGACCACCGCCACACAUAUGGACCUGCCCAAACCCGAAGCGCAGUUUAAGAUGCCCUACUCUCUAUGCCACCCCACUGAAAUUACAAUGCCAUAGUUGGUGAGUUUAUUCAGUGUUCUUGGUGAGUGUAUUCAGAGUUGCUUGAGGAAAUAAGAAGGAUUUGCUGCCGACUGCAUCCAGGGUUGAGCUGGGAUUUGAAACCAGGUGGCCCAGGUCCAAGUCCAGCACUCACUUCCCACUGGCUCCCAAAUGGCAUCAAAGUUCAAGGAUAUGGUGGCGAUUAGUACAGAUGCUUGGAAACUGAGCAUAUGUAUAAAAACAACAACAAACCUUCAGGUUUUUCCCCUUCAUGAAUCGUGUUGCAGUUUUGAGACAGGUGGUAACAGAUGUUGGACUCUCAGUUGGAAGCGAGGAGUGGACUCAUAUGCCACUAAAGACCCUAUAACAAGCUGCUUUGAAGAAAAUGCAGCCCAAGGAAGACAUGCUUACUGUGCUACUUGAAAUUGUCUUUCAUCUUAUGCCCAUGUGGACUUGGUAUAUGAAUAGAGUUUUAAAGGCAUUGCAUUUAUUUAAAAUCGAGAAAAUAACAUUUAUUAUGAUUUCUGAAUGUGUGUGUGUGUGUGUGUCCACUUAACUAGUAGGUGCUAUUAAGCUACAUUUAUUAGAAGUGAAUACUGUGACCACUUGUGAAAGAAUUGAAAUAUGGUCCCUCGAUAUAGGAUUGGAGGGGAGUGGGAGAGAGUACUAACAAAAUGUUGUCACACUCCUAAGCUGAGUUAUUGAAAGACUUGUUUGAAAGCAUGUACUAUAUGGGCUAGAUAGGCUCAAUUUUAGGAAGGGAUCAGAGAAUACAGAGAGUAAUUUAUGCUGGGGGCUGAGAAACGCUACCAAAAAUGAACUUAAUGCUCUCUGAGGUGUACGGAAAGGAUAAUUGCCAACAGCAGCUGCACAGAAUUCAAAAUAAAAUGUAGGCAAUGCAAUACUGAAUUAAAUUAAGCAUGGAGCAUGCAGAGGGCCCAGUGAAAGGAAGAGUGCAUGUGAUAAGAAUAAACCUUAUUAUCAAAAUGUUAAUACAAAGGAUGCUUUCAUGCCUGGUAUGGUAAUGAGCUAGGUCACACCUGGCCACAUCAAAGUAGUCUGAAGAGUAUAAUUGACAGAUAUCCAUCCAACUUCAAGAGGCAGAGCUCACUGACACCUGGGAACUUUGAGACAUUGUAAUGCUGAGGUCAGACAAGGACUGUGACAGCCUCAGAGAGAUGUAGGACUCUCGAAAUCUGAGUGUCAUAUUUUUUGUGAUGUUUGUUCUUCUUUCACUUUGUGUGCCUGGACCUAUUCAGUGUCACCAGGGAAUCCUAGAUGAAGCUCUGUUUUUGAGCCUUUCCUUUUGAUUUCAUUGUGAUAUUUUCUUGUUUUUCAAGUAAAUAUUGA
Long non-coding RNA from Hemicordylus capensis (graceful crag lizard), 3213 nucleotides. RefSeq lists it as uncharacterized. NCBI's taxonomy places the organism in Eukaryota, Metazoa, Chordata, Lepidosauria, Squamata, Cordylidae. The record is from RefSeq and is a predicted model, not a curated record. The transcript is spliced from 10 exons.